AAUAGAUACCCGGGUAGUCCACGCCGUAAACGAUGAGUGCUAAGUGUUAGAGGGUUUCCGCCCUUUAGUGCUGCAGCUAACGCAUUAAGCACUCCGCCUGGGGAGUACGGCCGCAAGGCUGAAACUCAAAGGAAUUGACGGGGGCCCGCACAAGCGGUGGAGCAUGUGGUUUAAUUCGAAGCAACGCGAAGAACCUUACCAGGUCUUGACAUCCUCUGCCAACCCUAGAGAUAGGGCGUUCCCCUUCGGGGGACAGAGUGACAGGUGGUGCAUGGUUGUCGUCAGCUCGUGUCGUGAGAUGUUGGGUUAAGUCCCGCAACGAGCGCAACCCUUGAUCUUAGUUGCCAGCAUUCAGUUGGGCACUCUAAGGUGACUGCCGGUGACAAACCGGAGGAAGGUGGGGAUGACGUCAAAUCAUCAUGCCCCUUAUGACCUGGGCUACACACGUGCUACAAUGAAUGGUACAAAGAGCUGCGAACCCGCGAGGGUAAGCGAAUCUCAUAAAGCCAUUCUCAGUUCGGA
Molecule: ribosomal RNA, 522 nt
Filed under: uncultured bacterium
Lineage: Bacteria
Description: bacterial SSU rRNA
Rfam family: Bacterial small subunit ribosomal RNA
Source: RNAcentral